This 432-nucleotide ribosomal RNA is filed under the name uncultured bacterium. Its description in RNAcentral is "partial 16S ribosomal RNA". It matches the Rfam family "Bacterial small subunit ribosomal RNA", at positions 29 to 506 of the family's 1533-position model. The record is from RNAcentral.
AACGAACGCUGGCGGCAUGCCUAACACAUGCAAGUCGAACGAGACCUUCGGGUCUAGUGGCGCACGGGUGCGUAACGCGUGGGAACCUGCCCUUAGGUUCGGAAUAACUCCCCGAAAGGGGUGCUAAUACCGGAUAAUGUCUUCGGACCAAAGAUUUAUCGCCUUUGGAUGGGCCCGCGUUGGAUUAGCUAGUUGGUAGGGUAAAAGCCUACCAAGGCGACGAUCCAUAGCUGGUCUGAGAGGAUGAUCAGCCACACUGGGACUGAGACACGGCCCAGACUCCUAGGGGAGGCAGCAGUGGGGAAUAUUGGACAAUGGGCGAAAGCCUGAUCCAGCAAUGCCGGGGGAGUGAUGAAGGCCUUAGGGUUGUAAAGCUCUUUUACCCGGGAUGAAAAUGACAGUACCGGGAGAAUAAGCCCCGGCUAACCCCGU